GAUGAACGCUGGCGGCGUGCCUAAUACAUGCAAGUCGAGCGAACAGACGAGGAGCUUGCUCCUUCGACGUUAGCGGCGGACGGGUGAGUAACACGUAGGUAACCUACCUCUAAGACUGGGAUAACUUCGUGAAACCGGAGCUAAUACCGGAUCAUAUUUCGAACCGCAUGGUUCGAUAGUGAAAGAUGGCUUUGCUAUCACUUUUAGAUGGACCUGCGCCGUAUUAGCUAGUUGGUAAGGUAACGGCUUACCAAGGCAACGAUCCGUAGCCGACCUGAGAGGGUGAUCGGCCACACUGGAACUGAGACACGGUCCAGACUCCUACGGGAGGCAGCAGUAGGGAAUCUUCCGCAAUGGGCGAAAGCCUGACGGAGCAACGCCGCGUGAGUGAUGAAGGUCUUCGGAUCGUAAAGCUCUGUUAUUAGGGAAGAACAAACGUGUAAGUAACUGUGCACGUCUUGACGGUACCUAAUCAGAAAGCCACGGCUAACUACGUG
RNAcentral lists this ribosomal RNA (497 nucleotides) under uncultured bacterium. Its description in RNAcentral is "partial 16S ribosomal RNA". It matches the Rfam family "Bacterial small subunit ribosomal RNA", at positions 28 to 507 of the family's 1533-position model. The record is from RNAcentral.